RNAcentral lists this ribosomal RNA (521 nucleotides) under Cercocebus agilis (agile mangabey). RNAcentral's name for it is "partial 16S ribosomal RNA". It matches the Rfam family "Bacterial large subunit ribosomal RNA", at positions 1843 to 2586 of the family's 2925-position model. The record is from RNAcentral. Lineage: Eukaryota; Metazoa; Chordata; Mammalia; Primates; Cercopithecidae.
GUAUUAAGGCACUGCCUGCCCAGUGACAUACGUUCAACGGCCGCGGUACCCUGACCGUGCAAAGGUAGCAUAAUCACUUGUUCUUUAAAUAGGGACUCGCAUGAAUGGCAACACGAGGGUUUAACUGUCUCUUACUUUUAACCAGUGAAAUUGACCUAUCCGUGAAGAGGCGGAUAUGAAACAAUAAGACGAGAAGACCCUAUGGAGCUUUAAUUUACCAAUGCAACUAAAAAUCAUACAAAUCCACGGACUCUAAAACUUCUACACCUGCAUUGAAAAUUUUGGUUGGGGCGGCCUCGGAGCAUAAACAAACCUCCGAAUGAUUCAUGCUAAGACCUUACAAGCCAAAGCAAACUAACACCCACAAUUGACCCAAUAAUUUGAUCAACGGAACAAGUUACCCUAGGGAUAACAGCGCAAUUCUAUUCCAGAGUCCAUAUCAACAAUAGAGUUUACGACCUCGAUGUUGGAUCAGGACAUCCUAAUGGUGCAGCAGCUAUCAAGGGUUCGUUUGUUCAACG